This 1243-nucleotide ribosomal RNA is filed under the name metagenome. Its description in RNAcentral is "SSU rRNA". It matches the Rfam family "Eukaryotic small subunit ribosomal RNA", at positions 181 to 1442 of the family's 1831-position model. The record is from RNAcentral.
UCCCGACUGCAAGGAAGGGAUGUAUUUAUUAGAUAAAAAAUCAAUGCAGGCAACUGCUUCAUUGGUGAUUCAUAGUAACUGAUCGAAUCGCAUGGCUCUAAGCUGGCGAUAGUUCAUUCAAAUUUCUGCCCUAUCAGCUUCGACGGUAGUGUAGUGGACUACCGUGGCAUUAACGGGUGACGGAGAAUUAGGGUUCGAUUCCGGAGAGGGAGCCUGAGAAACGGCUACCACAUCCAAGGAAGGCAGCAGGUGCGCAAAUUACCCAAUCCUGACACAGGGAGGUAGUGACAAGAAAUAACAAUACCGGGCCUUUCCAGGUCUGGUAAUUGGAAUGAGUACAAUUUAAAUCCCUUAACAAGGAUCCAUUGGAGGGCAAGUCUGGUGCCAGCAGCCGCGGUAAUUCCAGCUCCAAUAGCGUAUAUUAAUGUUGCUGCAGUUAAAAAGCUCGUAGUUGGAUUUCUGACUUGGCGCACCCGGCCCGCCACGGUUUCGUGUGUGAGUGCCGGGAUGCGCCUGUCACUUUUCUGGUAAACCAUUGUGCUCUUCAUUGAGUGUGGUGGGUAGCCAGAUAUUUUACUUUGAAAAAAUUAGAGUGUUUAAAGCAAGCGUUUGCUAUGAAUACAUUAGCAUGGAAUAAUAAGUUAGGACUUCGGUUCUAUUUUGUUGGUUUCUAGGACUGAAGUAAUGAUUGAUAGGGAUAGUUGGGGGUGCUAGUAUUCAGCGGCCAGAGGUGAAAUUCUCGGAUUCGCUGAAGACUAACUUAUGCGAAAGCAUUCACCAAGGAUGUCUUCUUUAAUCAAGAACGAAAGUUGGGGGAUCGAAGACGAUCAGAUACCGUCGUAGUCUCAACCUUAAACUAUGCCGACUAGGGAUUGGUCAACGUUGUAUUCUCGACUUGAUCAGCACCUUAUGAGAAAUCAAAGUCCUUGGGUUCCGGGGGGAGUAUGGUCGCAAGGCUGAAACUUAAAGGAAUUGACGGAAGGGCACCACCAGGAGUGGAGCCUGCGGCUUAAUUUGACCCAACACGGGGAAACUUACCAGGUCCAGACUCAGUGAGGAUUGACAGAUUGAAGAUCUUUCUUGAUUUUGAGGGUGGUGGUGCAUGGCCGUUCUUAGUUGGUGGAGCGAUUUGUCUGGUUUAUUCCGUUAACGAACGAGACCACGACCUGCUAAAUAGUUCGGUCUAGGGUUCGCUCUAGAUACGUGACUUCUUAGAGGGACUAUCGGUGUGUAGCCGAUGGAA